UAGGGAAUCUUCCGCAAUGGACGCAAGUCUGACGGAGCAACGCCGCGUGAGUGAAGAAGGAUUUCGGUUCGUAAAACUCUGUUGUUAGAGAAGAACAGCGCAUAGAGUAACUGUUAUGCGUGUGACGGUAUCUAACCAGAAAGCCACGGCUAACUACGUGCCAGCAGCCGCGGUAAUACGUAGGUGGCAAGCGUUGUCCGGAUUUAUUGGGCGUAAAGCGAGCGCAGGCGGUCAAUUAAGUCUGAUGUGAAAGCCCCCGGCUCAACCGGGGAGGGUCAUUGGAAACUGGUUGACUUGAGUGCAGAAGAGGAGGGUGGAAUUCCAUGUGUAGCGGUGAAAUGCGUAGAUAUAUGGAGGAACACCAGUGGAGAAGGCGACUCUCUGGACUGUAACUGACGCUGAGGCUCGAAAGCGUGGGUAGCAAACAGG
RNAcentral lists this ribosomal RNA (429 nucleotides) under Bacteroidota bacterium. RNAcentral describes it as "Bacteroidetes bacterium partial 16S ribosomal RNA". It matches the Rfam family "Bacterial small subunit ribosomal RNA", at positions 355 to 776 of the family's 1533-position model. The record is from RNAcentral. Lineage: Bacteria; Pseudomonadati; Bacteroidota.